RNAcentral lists this unclassified non-coding RNA (265 nucleotides) under Hevea brasiliensis (rubber tree). The record is from RNAcentral. Lineage: Eukaryota; Viridiplantae; Streptophyta; Magnoliopsida; Malpighiales; Euphorbiaceae.
AGGGCAUGGCUGGUGGAGAGCUUGUUGUUACCCCUCCUGAGAAUACUGCCUUUUGCCCAGAAGAUGCUACUAUAGUAGGUAACACCUGCUUAUAUGGUGCAACCGGAGGUCAAGUGUUCGUUAGAGGCAAAGCUGGAGAACGUUUUGCGGUUAGAAACUCUCUUGCCCAGGCUGUGGUAGAGGGAACCGGAGAUCAUUGUUGUGAAUACAUGACUGGUGGUUGUGUAGUAGUACUUGGAAAAGUUGGCAGGAAUGUUGCUGCUGG